This 650-nucleotide small RNA is filed under the name Pan troglodytes (chimpanzee). RNAcentral describes it as "processed transcript". The record is from RNAcentral. Lineage: Eukaryota; Metazoa; Chordata; Mammalia; Primates; Hominidae.
GAAAGUCCCUGACUGGAGUUGGCAGCCAAGCCAGGCCCUGGAGUGGGCACCCAGAGGGAAGACAGGGGAAGAACACCCACCCGCAAAGCCCCGUAGGGCUGGACCCUACGUUAGCCUGCCCUGCUCGGGGUUGGCGAUGCUGGAGGUGGGCCUUGGACCAGAGAAAAUGCUUUAAUUAGGUGACAAGCGGGCAGAGGCCUUUGUCUCUGGCGCCGGCAGCCAACGGCCCCCGCUGACGGCGUGGGAAACAGACCCUGUUCCACUCCGGUCUCCAGCCUUGGAAUGGUUGCCUUCGUGCAAUGCAGGAGGACGCGGCAGAGGGCGGACGAUCGCUCCACUCGCCGGGACCAGGUGCGGGGGCCCUGCCCAGCCGCUGGGGCGUGGCCAGGCUCGAAGCACCCAGGUGUCGGGGGCCGACUCUAAGCCCUGGCACCGGAAGAGAGAGGGCGGCGGAUUGCACCUCCCGGCUCCAGCAUUGCAACUGGGCGCUCCGUCUCCUGGUCCACGCAAUGAUGCCGCGGCUGCUCAGAAGCCAGCCAUCCGCCCGGCCCGGGAGGGCGGACGCCGCGAGACUCCCGGCCGCGCCCUCUCCUUCCUCUCCUCCCCAAGCCCUCGCUGCCAGUCCGGACAGGCUGCGCGAAGGGGAGGGC